CUACGUGCCAGCAGCCGCGGUAAUACGUAGGGCGCGAGCGUUAUCCGGAUUUAUUGGGCGUAAAGCGCUUGUAGGCGGUUAGAUACGUCUGCUGUUAAAGGCCGGGGCUUAACCCCGUGGUUCGCAGUGGGUACGGGCUGACUUGAGUGCAGAAGGGGAGACUGGAAUUCCAUGUGUAGCGGUGGAAUGCGCAGAUAUCAGGAGGAACACCGGUGGCGAAGGCAGGUCUCUGGGCUGUAACUGACGCUGAGGCGCGAAAGCGUGGGGAGCGAACAGGAUUAGAUACCCUGGUAGUCCAUGCCGUAAACGUUGGGUACUAGGUGUAGGGGAUAUCCCACGCUUCUCGUGCCGGAGUUAACGCAAUAAGUACCCCGCCUGGGGAGUACGGCCGCAAGGCUAAAACUCAAAGAAAUUGACGGGGGCCCGCACAAGCGGCGGAGUAUGCGGAUUAAUUCGAUGCAACGCGAAGAACCUUACCAAGGCUUGACAUUGA
RNAcentral lists this ribosomal RNA (493 nucleotides) under uncultured bacterium. Its description in RNAcentral is "bacterial SSU rRNA". It matches the Rfam family "Bacterial small subunit ribosomal RNA", at positions 501 to 990 of the family's 1533-position model. The record is from RNAcentral.